RNAcentral lists this ribosomal RNA (562 nucleotides) under uncultured bacterium. Its description in RNAcentral is "bacterial SSU rRNA". It matches the Rfam family "Bacterial small subunit ribosomal RNA", at positions 338 to 918 of the family's 1533-position model. The record is from RNAcentral.
CCUACGGGAGGCAGCAGUGGGGAAUCUUGGACAAUGGGCGCAAGCCUGAUCCAGCCAUGCCGCGUGAGUGAUGAAGGCCUUAGGGUCGUAAAGCUCUUUCGCCAGAGAUGAUAAUGACAGUAUCUGGUAAAGAAACCCCGGCUAACUCCGUGCCAGCAGCCGCGGUAAUACGGAGGGUGCAAGCGUUAAUCGGAAUUACUGGGCGUAAAGCGCGCGUAGGCGGCUUGUUAAGUCAGAUGUGAAAGCCCCGGGCUCAACCUGGGAACUGCAUCUGAUACUGGCAGGCUAGAGUUUGUGAGAGGGAAGUGGAAUUUCCGGUGUAGCGGUGAAAUGCAUAGAGAUCGGAAGGAACAUCAGUGGCGAAGGCGACUUCCUGGCACAAAACUGACGCUGAGGUGCGAAAGUGUGGGGAGCAAACAGGAUUAGAUACCCUGGUAGUCCACACCGUAAACGAUGAAUGCCAGUCGUCGGGUAGCAUGCUAUUCGGUGACACACCUAACGGAUUAAGCAUUCCGCCUGGGGAGUACGGUCGCAAGAUUAAAACUCAAAGGAAUUGACGGGG